RNAcentral lists this non-coding RNA (46 nucleotides) under Pseudooceanicola nitratireducens. RNAcentral's name for it is "SAM-SAH-Weickhmann-2018 RNA". It matches the Rfam family "SAM/SAH riboswitch aptamer". The record is from RNAcentral. Lineage: Bacteria; Pseudomonadati; Pseudomonadota; Alphaproteobacteria; Rhodobacterales; Paracoccaceae.
CUGCUCCAACGGCUUCCUGACGGAGUGGCUUGACCUGAUCGGAGCA